GACGAACGCUGGCGGCAGGCCUAACACAUGCAAGUCGAGCGGAGCGGCGGACGGGGGAGUAAUGCCUAAGAAUCUGCCUGGUAGAGGGGGAUAACGUACGGAAACGGGCGCUAAUACCGCAUACUAUCAGAUGAGCCUAGGUCGGAUUCGCUAGUUGGUGGGGUAAAGGCUUACCCAGGCGACGAUCCGUAACUGGUCUGAGAGGAUGAUCAGUCACACUGGAACUGAGACACGGUCCAGACUCCGACGGGAGGCAGCAGUGGGGAAUAUUGGACAAUGGGCGAAAGCCUGAUCCAGCCAUUCCGCGUGUGUGAAGAAGGUCUUCGGAUUGUAAAGCACUUUAAGUUGGGAGGCGUUACCAACAGAAUAAGCACCGGCUAACUUCGUGCCAGCAGCCGCGGUAAUUC
Molecule: ribosomal RNA, 407 nt
Filed under: uncultured bacterium
Lineage: Bacteria
Description: partial 16S ribosomal RNA
Rfam family: Bacterial small subunit ribosomal RNA
Source: RNAcentral